Drosophila melanogaster (fruit fly) is the source of this 543-nucleotide non-coding RNA. NCBI's taxonomy places the organism in Eukaryota, Metazoa, Arthropoda, Insecta, Diptera, Drosophilidae. The record is from Ensembl.
AUUUAAUUAUAAAAUGUUUGGGUUUCUAAAACACGUUAUAUAAUUUUAUUCCAAAUUGGUGAUUGUGGUUUCCGAGGCACAGCUUCAACUUGGAGUGUGGCGCCAUCCCGUCAGUCAUUGUGUGGUAGACUAAAUAUAAACUGCACUCCAAAUGACGGGGCAACUUCUGUCUCCGCUCGCAUAUGUGUGUGCGUUCCAUUUUGCCUCGCUGUCAGCGCAAUUGCUGUCAUUGCACUUAACGCACUUGCGCCCAUUCAGGGGCGGUUGGCUAGGAGGGGGUCGUCAGAAUACUGGGUGCCAGACGGGGGAGGCAGCAUCCUCAUCCAGCGGCAACUGGCUGCAAUUAUGGCGUCUCAAUGCGUUUUGUGCGUGGCUUCGGCAGUGAGACUGGAAGCCUGCCGCUGCAUAUUUGCAGCACCAGACGAACUAAGAGCAGAGUAGAAAAAUACACUGAACAAAAUGCGGUUCUGCAAACCAAGUACAUAAAUUUUAUUAAGACUGUGGAAAAUAUUGAUCUCUAAGCACGAUCUAUAUCCUAAGCUU